Molecule: unclassified non-coding RNA, 253 nt
Filed under: uncultured Paracoccaceae bacterium
Lineage: Bacteria; Pseudomonadati; Pseudomonadota; Alphaproteobacteria; Rhodobacterales; Paracoccaceae
Description: uncultured Rhodobacteraceae bacterium contains 16S-23S intergenic spacer region
Rfam family: Bacterial small subunit ribosomal RNA
Source: RNAcentral
UACGUAGGGGACUAGCGUUGUUCGGAAUUACUGGGCGUAAAGGGCGCGUAGGCGGACUAUUAAGUCAGGGGUGAAAUCUCGGGGCUCAACCCCGGAACUGCGCUGGAUACUGGUAGUCUGGAGUUCUGGAGGGGUGAGUGGAAUUCCGAGUGUAGAGGUGAAAUUCGUAGAUAUUCGGAGGAACACCAGUGGCGAAGGCGGCUCACAGGCCAAAUACUGACGCUGAGGUGCGAAAGUGUGGGGAGCAAACAGG